UGACACGAGUUUUAGUUGUCUCUAACAACCAUAAUAACAACAACAACCUCUCUCUUAUUCUCAGCUAUAAUCUGCUAUAAUUCACCAAUAAUUCAGCUAUAAUCCAGGGAUUACACCACAUCAUCUGUUAUAGAGCAGAGCAUAACACCUUUAGGUUGUUGGCACUGACGGUCACAAUGGCAUCGACCAGUAUAGCCAACAAGAGAGAAUUCUACGAGAGAGAUGAAAGACGAGCCAUGAACGGUGUGGAUGACACAGGUUACCAGGUGGAACUGUUUGUCUACGACCUAAGUCGUGGUCUGGCCAAGACCAUGUCACCUGCCUUGUUAGG
Molecule: non-coding RNA, 331 nt
Organism: Cherax quadricarinatus
Lineage: Eukaryota; Metazoa; Arthropoda; Malacostraca; Decapoda; Parastacidae
Source: RefSeq, a predicted model, not a curated record